RNAcentral lists this long non-coding RNA (797 nucleotides) under Malus domestica (apple). RNAcentral's name for it is "long non-coding RNA (MDOM_LNC005109)". Lineage: Eukaryota; Viridiplantae; Streptophyta; Magnoliopsida; Rosales; Rosaceae. The record is from RNAcentral.
AUUAAGUAUCAAUAACGACUCACUACAAAGUUUUCUCCUUGGAUUGGGACGUUAUGUCUUCCCAUUUGCUGCUUGGCCCAUAUGUGUUCGAAUUGCAAUGAAAUAGUGGGGAGUGGGACGUGGUCAAAUAUUUUGAGUGCAAAGCAUCAAACCGUAGGAAACACAAGUUGUUGAGUGUUGGAGGGUAACGAUCAACACCUAAAAGUAGGGUUCUUUCAAAAUUUUGUACAUCUUUGGCUUGUUUGUGUAACCACGAGGUAACAAUAACUGCAUAAAUAAAUUCAUAUAUAAACAUAGUGGGAAACAAUACGACAUCAUUCUGGUGUCACUUGCAAAUCAUAAAUGUUAAAUUUAGUGAUAAUACAUAUGAAAAAUAUCAAGAUAAGCUGCCACCUUUGACCUCUAAAAACAAUGAUGAAGUAAAAUUUUGGAUUCCAGAGGCCAUGAGGUGUUGGUCAUUCACACUUUUGCUUCCUAAUCCAUUAACUUAUAUAAAGGACAAAAUUAAUAUAUUUUAAGGCCACUAUGUAUAUGUUUGCAGUAUUUAAGAUAAUAUAGGUUUCCAUGUAAUACUAUAAGGACAAAAUUAAUAUAGUUUAAGGCCACCAUGUAGAUAUUUGUAAUAUUUAAGAUUAUACAGGUUUCCAUGUAUAUGUUUGCAGUAUUUAAGAUAAUAUAGGUUUCCAUGUAAUAUUUAAGAUUCUAGGUUACCAUGUAAUACUAUAAGGACAAAAUUAAUAUAUUUUAAGGCCACCAUGUAGAUAUUUGUAAUAUUUAAGAUUAUACAGGUUUCCAUG